Molecule: long non-coding RNA, 256 nt
Filed under: Brassica napus (rape)
Lineage: Eukaryota; Viridiplantae; Streptophyta; Magnoliopsida; Brassicales; Brassicaceae
Description: long non-coding RNA (BNAP_LNC002850)
Source: RNAcentral
AGUUUGGACUCGGUUAACUCAUUUAAUUUUAAAAACAAAAUAAAAUUCAUAUAUACUUUAAAUUUCUCAAAAUCUAAAAAUAAAAAUAAUAUAUAAUAUAUAAAUUUGAAUAAUGUAUGCCAAAAUACUUAAACUUAAAAUAAAAUUUGGUUUACCUUAAAUAUUUGGAUAAGAAAUAAAUAGAUAUUUGAAGUAAUUUUUGUAUUUUGAGUAUCCAUUAACUAUUUUAAGCAUGUAUUUUUAACUAUUUCUAUAU